RNAcentral lists this ribosomal RNA (392 nucleotides) under uncultured organism. Its description in RNAcentral is "bacterial SSU rRNA". It matches the Rfam family "Bacterial small subunit ribosomal RNA", at positions 45 to 422 of the family's 1533-position model. The record is from RNAcentral.
UGGAUUAGGCAUGCAAGUCGAACGGGAUUUCUAGCUUUUUCGGAAAUUCAGUGGCGAAAGGGUGAGUAACACGUGAGUAACCUGCCCUAGGGAUCGGGAUAACCUGCCGAAAGGCGGGCUAAUACCGGAUACGUUUUUACUACAAUGUAGUAAAUGGAAAGAUGGGGACCUCGCAAGAGGCCUGUCACCCCUGGAUGGGCUCGCGUCCUAUCAGCUAGUUGGUGAGGUAAUGGCUCACCAAGGCUAAGACGGGUAGCUGGUCUGAGAGGAUGGUCAGCCACACUGGGACUGAGACACUGCCCUGAAUCAUACCGGAGGCUGCAGUCGAGAAUCUUUCGCAAUGGGGGAAACCCUGACGAAGAGACGCCGCGUGCAGGAUGAAGGCCUUCGGG